CCUACGGGAGGCUGCAGUGGGGAAUAUUGGACAAUGGGGGGAACCCUGAUCCAGCCAUGCCGCGUGUGUGAAGAAGGCCCUCGGGUUGUAAAGCACUUUCAGUGAGGAAGAACGCCUGGUGGUUAAUACCCAUCAGGAAAGACAUCACUCACAGAAGAAGCACCGGCUAACUCCGUGCCAGCAGCCGCGGUAAUACGGAGGGUGCGAGCGUUAAUCGGAAUUACUGGGCGUAAAGCGCGCGUAGGUGGCUUGAUAAGCCGGUUGUGAAAGCCCCGGGCUCAACCUGGGAACGGCAUCCGGAACUGUCAAGCUAGAGUGCAGGAGAGGAAGGUAGAAUUCCCGGUGUAGCGGUGAAAUGCGUAGAGAUCGGGAGGAAUCCCAGUGGCGAAGGCGGCCUUCUGGACUGACACUGACACUGAGGUGCGAAAGCGUGGGUAGCAAACAGGAUUAGAUACCCGUGUAGUC
This 465-nucleotide ribosomal RNA is filed under the name Vreelandella stevensii. RNAcentral describes it as "partial 16S ribosomal RNA". It matches the Rfam family "Bacterial small subunit ribosomal RNA", at positions 338 to 795 of the family's 1533-position model. Lineage: Bacteria; Pseudomonadati; Pseudomonadota; Gammaproteobacteria; Oceanospirillales; Halomonadaceae. The record is from RNAcentral.